CGAAAGUCGUAGUGCACAGUAAGAACCUAUUGGAAUACCUAACUGCUGAAAUAUACAUCCUCUUAACUCAGCAAGUAUUCUUUUUUUAUAAGAACCGAAACAGUUGAAGAUAUAAUUAUAUAUAGAUAGAUGACGACAUCGGGACUAGUAGUUGACUAGUAGAAUCAUCGACAUAGUGAUGUAAAUAAUGACAAUAACACGUUAUAAAUUUCAUGCCUCCCAAAGCUGUUCUGGAUUUAGUUUCAUCAUUAACGCCAAAAGCCGCACAUUUGAGACUAUGUAUAUGAACAGAAACAGUUGAAGAGCAAUAUGACCAAAAAAAAAAGAAAAAAUACAAUUUGAAAGAAGAAAGCUCAGCGGGAAAAUGUUUUGGGAUAGCCUAAUAAAAAUACAUAUGGUUGUGGUAAACUCCAUAACCAACACAGAUGUAACUGAGAGAGAGUAGAAAGUAAAGUAACGAUAUUCAAAACGUCCAUAAUCAAAUGGCCAAAUCAAAAGCUCAGAACACAUCAAACGAUUGGAUAACUGUUGUCCUAUUCCUGACCUGGCACAGCAGAUACACAGUAGAUUUGAACUAUGAACUAUCGUAGUACUUAUAUUUGCAGAAUUUUAAAUUGUAAAUAAUAAGAUGUUAUUAGAUAAUAAUUAAGUUUAGAAGAAUAACGGACGACAAAACAGGAAACUGAAAUUGCCUCGACACAAAACUAAACACCAAAUAAAAAGAGGUACCAGGCGUAUAAUUUGAUACGCCAGACGCACGUUUCGUCUAUGUAAGACUCAUCAGUGACCCUCAGAUCAAAAUAGUUAGAAGCCAAACACGUAUAAAGUUGAGGAGCAUUUAGGACCCA
Molecule: long non-coding RNA, 848 nt
Filed under: Mytilus galloprovincialis (Mediterranean mussel)
Lineage: Eukaryota; Metazoa; Mollusca; Bivalvia; Mytilida; Mytilidae
Source: RNAcentral